This 484-nucleotide ribosomal RNA is filed under the name uncultured bacterium. RNAcentral describes it as "partial 16S ribosomal RNA". It matches the Rfam family "Bacterial small subunit ribosomal RNA", at positions 30 to 507 of the family's 1533-position model. The record is from RNAcentral.
AUUGAACGCUGGCGGCAGGCCUAACACAUGCAAGUCGAGCGGAUGAAGGGAGCUUGCUCCUGGAUUCAGCGGCGGACGGGUGAGUAAUGCCUAGGAAUCUGCCUGGUAGUGGGGGAUAACGUCCGGAAACGGGCGCUAAUACCGCAUACGUCCUGAGGGAGAAAGUGGGGGAUCUUCGGACCUCACGCCAUCAGAUGAGCCUAGGUCGGAUUAGCUAGUUGGUGGGGUAAAGGCCUACCAAGGCGACGAUCCGUAACUGGUCUGAGAGGAUGAUCAGUCACACUGGAACUGAGACACGGUCCAGACUCCUACGGGAGGCAGCAGUGGGGAAUAUUGGACAAUGGGCGAAGGCCUGAUCCAGCCAUGCCGCGUGUGUGAAGAAGGUCUUCGGAUUGUAAAGCACUUUAAGUUGGGAGGAAGGGCAGUAAGUUAAUACCUUGCUGUUUUAACGUUACCAACAGAAUAAGCACCGGCUAACUUCGUG